RNAcentral lists this ribosomal RNA (433 nucleotides) under uncultured bacterium. RNAcentral's name for it is "partial 16S ribosomal RNA". It matches the Rfam family "Bacterial small subunit ribosomal RNA", at positions 29 to 507 of the family's 1533-position model. The record is from RNAcentral.
AACGAACGCUGGCGGCAGGCUUAACACAUGCAAGUCGAACGGAUCCUUCGGGAUUAGUGGCAGACGGGUGAGUAACGCGUGGGAACGUACCCUUUGCUACGGAAUAACUCAGGGAAACUUGAGCUAAUACCGUAUGUGCCCUACGGGGGAAAGAUUUAUCGGCAAAGGAUCGGCCCGCGUUGGAUUAGCUAGUUGGUGGGGUAAUGGCCUACCAAGGCGACGAUCCAUAGCUGGUCUGAGAGGAUGAUCAGCCACACUGGGACUGAGACACGGCCCAGACUCCUACGGGAGGCAGCAGUGGGGAAUAUUGGACAACGGGCGCAAGCCUGAUCCAGCCAUGCCGCGUGAGUGAUGAAGGUCUUAGGAUUGUAAAGCUCUUUCACCGGUGAAGAUAAUGACGGUAGCCGGAGAAGAAGCCCCGGCUAACUUCGUG